RNAcentral lists this ribosomal RNA (746 nucleotides) under uncultured Peptostreptococcaceae bacterium. Its description in RNAcentral is "bacterial SSU rRNA". It matches the Rfam family "Bacterial small subunit ribosomal RNA", at positions 28 to 776 of the family's 1533-position model. The record is from RNAcentral. Lineage: Bacteria; Bacillati; Bacillota; Clostridia; Peptostreptococcales; Peptostreptococcaceae.
GAUGAACGCUGGCGGCGUGCCUAACACAUGCAAGUCGAACGGAGUUUAUGUAGGAAGUUUUCGGAUGGAAUGUAUAAACUUAGUGGCGGACGGGUGAGUAACGCGUAAGUAAUCAACCUAAAACACACGGAUAACUAAGAGAAAUUUUAGCUAAUACGAGAUGAACUUUGAUAGUAGGGAUAUUAUCAAAGCAAAGCUGAGGCGGUUUUAGACGAGCUUGCGUCUGAUUAGCUAGUUGGUAAGGUAAGAGCUUACCAAGGCGACGAUCAGUAGCCGGCCUGAGAGGGUGAACGGCCACAUUGGGACUGAGACACGGCCCAAACUCCUACGGGAGGCAGCAGUGGGGGAUAUUGCACAAUGGGGGGAACCCUGAUGCAGCAACGCCGCGUGAGUGAAGAAGGCUUUCGAGUCGUAAAGCUCUGUCGUAUGAGAAGAAUAAAUGACUGUAUCAUACAAGAAAGCCCCGGCUAACUACGUGCCAGCAGCCGCGGUAAUACGUAGGGGGCAAGCGUUAUCCGGAAUUACUGGGCGUAAAGGGUGCGUAGGCGGCUUAGUAAGUCAAGAUUUAAAGGCAGCAGCUCAACUGCUGUUCGGUCUUGAAACUAUUGAGCUUGAGUAUAGGAGAGGAAAGUGGAAUUCCCAGUGUAGCGGUGAAAUGCGUAGAUAUUGGGAGGAAUACCGGUGGCGAAGGCGACUUUCUGGACUAUAACUGACGCUGAGGCACGAAAGCGUGGGUAGCAAACAGG